AAACUACGAUAAUUAAUAAAAUAAUAAAACUUAGCAAAUGAUAUUUCAAACAAGUUAUUAUUAUUAGAGUAAUUAAAUGCAGGACUGCCAGAAAAAUGCCUAAUUUAAGUAAUAUUCUCAAUCGGAAAAUUCAGCUUUCAAUUUGGGCUUGCCAAUCCUAGCUAGUUUGAGGCAUUUCAUAUGGUUGAAAUGAUGAAGUCCUCCGUGAAGAUUAAGCUGGCCCAUAAGAGAACAGAAGCAACAGCAACGACAAUUGUAAUGGGUGUCCAUUUCAGUGCGAUCAACUGUACUAUCAGAAAAUUAAUACAUUGAAAAUUCUAAUGAUAAAAAAAGAUUAGGCACAGUUUCUUUGCCUAUAAAAUAUUUUCUAAGCAAUUUCUAUAUUAUACUCAUACACGCAUACCUCAAGGAGUGGGGAACCCCAUAUCGAAGGGGCAGUUGGAGGUCUUGCUAGUGCUGUUUCUGGUAGUUCUGAUAAAAACAGGAGUGAGGAGAUGAACAAUGCAUAGGGUUUUUGUAUGCCUUGUGAAUAGAACAUAAAAAUAAAGCUUAAUCUCUACCUGCAUUCCGUUUUCUUUCCAAGAUUUCAGAAAUGUGUUGAGUAAUGAUAUCUGUAUCUUUCUGUCUACUAGCAUUCAACUUUGACAGAUUAGCUUGUGUUCUGGUAUCAACGUAUUGCUUCCUUAUAUUUCUAAUAACACCAUCUGCAAACAAAAUGUUGAAUUGGAUAUUUUUCUGCUAGUACUCGCUACUUACUUUGCUGAGAGAAACUUGAGAAAUUUAUUGAAGAAGCAGGAUGAUAUUGGAGAUUUAAGUCUCAUUUGGAUUAAUUGUUUUUGCUCUAUUAACAUGUGAGCAUAUAUGUAUGCCAGCCAUCUUCAACUUAGAGUAGUAUAUAUAGAGAUUACCGAAUUUGUGGAAAGUGUAAGGACUUGUAAUCUUGUGAAUGAGGGCAUUGUCAAGUUUCUCCAACUCCUUCUGCAAAUCUUGCAGGUAAUGGAAAGCUAGCUUUCUUGGAUAUGAAGAAUCGCACAAUGUAAUGAAGCAGACUCCAUUCUCAACCAAGUAGCUUAAUGCGUCAAAAAGAUCAGGUAAAUUAAAUUAAUUAAACAUCAGACCUCUAUAGUCUUAACUUGUUCUUUUUUGGCCUUUUCUAAUUCUCCCUUACCAUUAAAUUUUAUGCCGAAAAAUAAAAAUAAAAAUAAAAGAAAAGAAAGAUCCAUCUAAUAAUAAAAUUUAAGUUCAUUUCAGCAGAAGCAAGUACAAAAAAUAUAAUGGAAAGAAGAUACUUGAAGGAGUGGUGAUCAAUGCGAAUGGUCAUCUUGGAAGGUGUCAGGGCACCGCUUGAGAUUUCUUUCAGUAUGAAUUCAGCUUGUUGCCUAUAAAAUAUGAAGUUAUCAUUCUCUUUAUGUACGUACCUGGGCCCUUGUGCAAGAGGCAACCCAUCAGCCAACCUUCCAAUUAUUGUCAGCUCAACCAUUACCAAAAAGAAUUAUGCAAUCCACAAAUGUAAAAUCUAACAGCAAUAUGUGAA
This 1534-nucleotide unclassified non-coding RNA is filed under the name Hevea brasiliensis (rubber tree). Lineage: Eukaryota; Viridiplantae; Streptophyta; Magnoliopsida; Malpighiales; Euphorbiaceae. The record is from RNAcentral.